GUAAAUUUUUACGGCAAUUUUUUUAGAACUUUUCACUGUACAGAAACGAAUCACAACCGUUAGAGUUCGAAGCUUCUCUUCUCCCCGACCAAUUCUUACAUUUCAUCUCCAAACUCUCUCUCUCUGCAUCUCUCAUUACUCCAUUUCAUUACGUGAGGAACGGAAUCGUGAAUUUUUAGAGAGAGAAAAUGAAUGCUGUUGGAAGGCAGAGAUCUGGUGCAUCAUCCACUGUGCACCACCAGCGGCAGAACUCCGAUAAUUUUCUAGAAUCAUCAUCUAACGGCCGAUGGCUGCAAUCAGCUGGUCUCCAGCACAUGCAGCUAUCGAACAAUGCAGUUCCUCCACUUCAGGUGCAUUUUCGUAAUUUAGCGUUGCUUGUUGACCAAAUGUAUGCUUAGAUCUGAAUAUCUGAAUUCUGCAACGGAAAAUUUACGAAUUUUGAAUUAGGAUUUUGGUUACCAUAAUGGAGGGGGUGAGGACUCGAAGAUGUAUAGGAGCGUGCAGGCGCAGAGGACUUAUAGUGGAAAUAGCGAUUUGUUUGCUGAGCCAUUGAUGCCACCAGUAUAUUCACGGCCAGGUAGUCAGAGAAGGAAUGUAGAGGAGCAAGUUUCACCAAAUGAGUAUAGCCCGGGGCUCUUGGAUCUGCAUUCUCUCGACACUGAGUUACUUUCCUCGGUAGAUAUCGGAUUCUGGCAAUAAAUUGUGCAAAUGAAUUAGUAGAAGACUGAAAUUAUUAUUAUUAUUAUUAUUAUUAUUAUUAUUAUUAUUAUUAUUAUUUAUUUAUUUAUUUAUUUAUUUAUUUUUUUGUGUUAUAGUGGAUUAAGUAUUUGGGUGUGCUGCUGAAUUAAUUUCUAUUGAGUGUGAUUGCCCUUACAGUGGAUUAUCUCGUGUUCAAGUGUGUGAAUUACAACUCACUCUUUGUUGACUUCAGGUUUUAAUUACUUGUGAGCCUAAUUAAUAUGUGGCUUAUUGAUGAUGUCUGAUGAUUUUUUCUCAACAAGUCAUAAGAUUUCAUUUCACUCAUAGUGAGAAAUCUAAAGUUAUCUAGUUUAGAAAAUUGGAUUCAUGGUAGCUGAUAAUAAUCCCUAAGCUAGUGUGGUCUCUAAAUAUAAGAUUAUGCUCAGAAAAUUGAUAGCACAUUAGUUAUUAGAUAUUUUAUCGGUCUCAUUGUUUUAAUUUGGUUUUGAAACAUUUUGCUAUUCUAGUUCAUCUUGUUAUUUUAACUUUUUCCCUGUUUUUUUCCUUUUGUUGUAUGUGGAAACUAGAUGCCAGCUCCUCGUCUGUAUAAUGGCACCUCAAUGCAUUUUGCACAGGGAAGAAGCUUUGAUGACUCCAAUCCAUACUUUGGAAACAGUAAACAAACAGGCAAAGCUCGUGGUUUGCAGGAGAACAAUGUUAUGAAAAGCAUUGCAACGGACAAUGUGAGGGCCAGCAAUGUUGCAAAGAUCAAAGUGGUGGUAAGUAUGUUUUUCGUGUUCUAAUCAAACUGUUCUUACCUUUUUGUUUCUCGAUUAGCCUGUAGCUACCCAUACCUACAUUCCUUACUUUCUGAUUUUAUUACUAAUAAGCAUUACAUAUAGUCUUUUAAUCAGACUAACCUAUGCAAGUUUCAUGAAAUGCAAUCAUUGCAUCAAGAGGCAAUUUUUUUCAGUAUAAUGUCUUCCAUGCUCUGGAUUAAUGAAUUACAGAUUAUAUUGUUGCUUUUACCUUGCAUUCAAUUAUGAUUGAUUGGUUGCAGGUACGUAAAAGACCACUAAACAAAAAGGAACUGUCGAAGAAUGAGGAAGAUAUCAUUGAAACAGAGUCUAACUGUCUUGUAGUCUAUGAGACAAAACUUAAGGUCUGUGACAGUAUCUUUUUGUGCAUGUUUAAAUUUUUUUUUUCUAAGAAGAUUGCUAUCAUAGGUCUCUUUAAUGUCUCUUGGUUAUAAUUUUGAUAACGUUUUGUGCUUUACAUUUUGUCAAUAAGAUGGCCUGUACUGCUCCUUAUAAUAGCACUGGCAACUGGAUUGGUUGUUGUAAUAUAUCUAAAUCCCUGUUUCCUUUAACUAAAACUCAAAUUUUAGAAAUUAUUAAAAGUUGUGGGUUCUAUGGAAUGUGUGAUUGAAAAUGACUUCUAGAAAAUGAGGGCCAAACAAAAAGAUUGAUUUCAUUGCCAAUUAUACCUUGUGCAUUUCCGGAAAUCUUUUCCUCCUGGUUAUUUUUUUUGAUCGUGACUGACUUUGAGAAUAAUUUCAUCCCUCAUGUUGUUACUUAUUUCUUAAUGCUGCAUGUUGCCCGCACAUUAAUUUUGAUUGAUUUCUUUCACAAUAAGAGAAUAAUGUUGAUUCAAGUCGUCAGUCAGAUACAUGCUUUUUAUUGGGUCGAUUUGUCUUUUGCUGUUCUCCAGCGAAAGCACUCGAUAAUGGAUAAUAUUAACAAAUUUAUCCUCCCAUAUGGUAGUCUUGUGCCAAAAAUUAAAUGGACAGGUAAUCGUUAUUUAUAUUUCAUUGUAGUCAGAAUUUCUUUUGUGAGAUAUUCAAUGUCUUUGAAUCCCAAUUUCUCGCAGGUUGACUUGACAGAAUAUGUGGAGAAGCAUGAAUUUGUCUUUGAUGCCGUGCUAAAUGAGGAAGUAUCAAAUGAUGAGGUGAUGAGCGUGAUCUAGAGUGAAACCAUGUAAAAUACUCUUGGUGUCUCGGCCUAUAACUUUUUCUCAACAUUUUAUAUCUCUAGGUCUAUCGAGAAACUGUGGAGCCCAUUGUUCCAAUAAUUUUCCAACGAACCAAAGCUACUUGCUUCGCCUAUGGGCAAACAGGUAAUUGCUUACAUGUAAUCAUCAGUAGAUUUGGUGUUAGAAGCUUGCUGUAGUUUGUUUGACUUUUAUUUCUGUAUUUCUAGUUUUGGUUUUUUUAUCUACAUACUCUGGUGGUCCUGUUGCAUGCUUGGUAAGCAUAUUUGAGUUUUUUAAUUAAACUUUUCUUCAAUUUUUAUGGAAUUAUUUUCAAGUUUUAUCAAGGCGAGCCUCUUUUAAGAAUGUAGGGGAAGAACAUGCUUGAUUACCCCAUUCAUGCAAAAGUGAGGCUUGAUUGAGAUGUUUUAGGUUUUGCAGCUACCUAUGGACUUGCUAGAGAAGCAAGACAGGUCCCAUAUAAAGCAAAAAAUAUCAUGAUGAGUAGAUAGUUAAGUAGCAUGGGCACUUUAACUAGGGUAAUAUGUCCGACACGUGUUGGAUACCGAGACUCCUUGGAUACUAUCCCAUUGUCAUUUUUUCUUUAUUAAAAAUGUUAUAUAUUUUCAACUCAAAGUUAUUGUUAAACAACAAAUAUAUACUCAUAUUUAAAAGAUUUCUACAAGAAAAAUUUAUAACAAAUAUAAAAUUAAAUCCUGUUUAAUAGGGAUUAAAGUUAGAUUUUUAAUAGAUUUUGAUAGAAGUUGAUGAAAUGUGUGGUUGAAAAGCGUCGUUCCAUAAAAUGUGUAGUUAAAAUUAAUUGUUAACUUUGACUUAUAUUCAAAGUUGAAUUUUAACUUUUACCAAAUAGGGGCUAAAUUUACACUGUAUAAAUGAAAAAUUUUAAAGAGUUUUAACAAUUUGUCGAUGAUGUGUCGUAUUAGUAAUUUUUUGAGAAAUUAUGUCUUGACAUGUCCGUGUAGGUGCUUUAUACGUAGACAAAAUCUAGACUUGAAAGACAGACUUGUAAUUGGUGCAGUUAUUGACAUUGUGUGCAAAAAAUCUAGAAAUGAUAGUGUUGGAUAAAUUUAUUGCUCACCUGGUAUAACGAAUUAAUUACCAAUAGUAAUAUUUUUUAUUGGUGGCUUGGAGAAAUGAACCAUGCUGUUAAAGCAUCAGUUAGUAACCCUUUUAUGGAAGGCAUGCUCUUGUUGAUUUAAUUUAUUAACUAUAAUUGUCCUCCAAAGCCAUGGAUAUUUCUGUAGCUGCUUACACGGACUUCUCUUAUCACGAGAGGCGUUGCUAAAUCAAUAAGAUAAUUGUGCAUUAUAAUAAGCAUUUGAAUUAUCCAAAUAUUAUAACUUAUUUUAUUAUUAUUAUUUUUAUAUAAUUUUCGUUCUCAUGCUGAUUUGAAGCAAAUUGUUUUUAGAAAAUUACAAUUUUUGUAUGCCCUAUAAAGUCAAUUAGUUCUACAUUUUUUUAUCCAUAUUAACCUUAAAAACUAUACUAAGCCUUUUUUAUGAAUCACAAAAUGGCUAUAAUGUGAGAAACGAUGAGAAUGUACUAUGAUAAAUAAUCUAAGAAAGUGUUAGCUUUAAGGCAUGUAGACAUUUCUCAAUCUCCUAAAGUGUUUGUAUUUGAGGUUUUUUGAUCCCAUGGGGAGAUUAAACUUUCUCCUUAGAAGCAUCGACAUGGACACAAUUGUCAGACGCAUAUUAUUAUGUUGGGCCUCUGAUACGCGUUAGUGACAUUUCGGUGUCUAAUAUGUGUUCGAUUUCGAUAUGUUGACCGCGACAGCAUGUUGGUACUUUUUAGUUCUCCUUCAAGUUUUUAUCAAUGGGAAAGAGACUUAGGUUUAUCUAAUUAUUGAGAGCUUCAAUAUAUUUUUCCAGACAUGAGUUUACCGAAAUGUGAAUGUCAAUCCUAAACAAUAUUAUAUAACUGUUGAGUGCACCAUUUUCAUUUGUUUCUAUAGAAGAAUGAGAAAUGUCCAAAUGUCUCAAAGCUCACACUAUCUUAUAUUAUUUUUAUGGUACAUUCCCAUUGUCUCCUACAUUAGGCAUCCCGUGAUCCAUUACAAAUGACUUAGUAUAAUUUUUAAGGUUCAUGUAAAUAAAAAUCAAAGAACAAGCUGACUUUACAACGCCAUAUAAGUGAAAAACUUUACAGAAAUUGUAAUUUUCUAAGUAAUUUCCUUCAAAUCAGCACGAGAGUAUGAAAUAAUAUUUGGGUAAUUCUAAUAUUUAUUGCAAUGCAUAACCAUGAAUAUCCAUCAGUCUAAAGCAUUUAGAGGUGAUCGUCAUUAACUUUAGUCAAAUACCUGUCUUGAACUAGUUUACUACCUCAUCUAAAAGAUUAAGCCAUUAGAGGGAAUAAACAUAUUUAUUUGAAAUUUAUUUAAACUUACUGUAUAAUAUUAUCAAAUAAUUUUUGAAUGCAAUGGGCGAUAAGCCCAACUUAACUGAUUGCAGGCCUCAAACUUUUGGACCGUCUAUUUGGUCUCGCAAUGGACUUUGUGAUUGGCAUUAAUCAACGUUAGGGUGUGUUUGAGCCACAUUCUUGUUAAAGAAUGUAUUUUGGAAUAGUAAAUUGAUGGAGAAUGUGUGGUUAAAAAAGAAGAAGAAAUUUUUUAUUUGCAUGUAAGAUUAUUUUAAUGAAGAAUGUGGUUGAAAAGACGGGAGAGAAAAAUAUAUUUUAGGAAAAAUGGGAAUCAAACAUCCCCUUAUUAUACGUCACAAACUUAGCAUAUGUUUGAGCCCCAUUUUAAGGGAAAAAUAGGUUUUGUAAAAGUGAUUUUUUAGAAAAUGUAUAGUUAAAAGUAGGAAAGUUUUUAUUUGGUGAAUGUGUGGUUAAAAAUGAUUUUGGGGAAAAAUGAAUUUUUAUAAAGGCUCAAACAAGGGUUUAGUGUUGUUUGUGUUAAUUUUUUUAUAGGGCAACUUACAGAAAUACUCUUGAGCUCUUAUUUGAUGCCAUUAUUUGGCCAAAAUAAUGUUUUGAAUAGUGAUUUUUAUGCAAAUGUGUGCUUAAAAAGUAGAAAUUUUUUUUAAGUUUACAUGCAAAAUAUUUUAUUGUGUGAAAGCAUGGUAGAAAAUAAGUAUACAAAAAAAGAGUUUUCAAAUAAUAAUUGUCAAACAGGGGCUAAAACAUAGGGGUUUUUGAAAAAUCAUAUGAAAAGUAUUUUGGAAGUAAAAAAUACUAUGUAAAGUCAGGUGAGACUUUUUUUAAAAAAAAGAAAAAAAAAGACAUAAAAUGCUACUAUUUAAUCAAAAAGUGAUGUGUGUUCACUUUCUAUACCAUGAAAAUUUAAGUCAACAUUUAACACAACAUAAAAUAAAUUAACAUACGUUGGAAAUUGAUUGUGUGUGACAUUUAAUAUAAAAAUUGCACAACACGCUUUAUAUGUUACAUUUUAAUGAAAUGCCACAAACCAUGUAACUUGACUUUCUUAAUAAAAUAUUUAAAGAUUAAAUGGUCUUUUCUUCUGUGACAUUAAACAUGGAAGCAAUUCAGUUAAGCGACAAAAAUUCAAAAAGUGAAAAACAUCAAUCAAAAUCUGAGAAUAGAUUUAGGGGUGAUUGAUUUUCUUCUACAUGGUCUAGUGGACAUGUUGCAUGCUUGCUAAGCAUAUUUGAGAUCCUUAAUUAAACUUUUCUUCAAUUUUUAUGGUAUUACUUUCAAGUUUCCUCAAGGCGAGAGCCUAUUAAGAAUGUGGGGAAGAACAUGCUUGAUUACCUCAUUCAUGCAAAAGUGAAGCUUGGAUUUAGAUUUUUGGUUUUGCAGCCACCCAUGGACUUGCCAGAUAAACAAGACGGUCCUAAAUAGAGCAAAAAAAAUGUCAUAGAUGAGUAGAAACUAUAAAGAAUCUAGACCUGAAAGACGGACUUGCAUUUGGUGCUGUUAUUGACAUUGUGUGCAGAAAAUCUAGAAGUGACGGUGUUGGAUAAAUUUGUUGCUCAUCUGGUUUAACAAGAUAUUUUUGAUUGGUGGUCUGGAGAAAUGAACCAGGCGGGUAAAGCAUCAGUCAGUUACCCUUUUAUGGAAGACAUGCUCUAGGUGAUUUAAUUUACUAACUUUGAUUGUCCUCCAAAGCCAUGGAUAUUUCUGUAGCUGCUUCCAUGGACCUCUCUUAUCAUGAGAGGCAUUGCAGAAAGAGUAAAAUGAACAAAAUUCAUGGUUGGUUAUCUGACGUUUUAUAUAAUUUGAAAUAGAACAAAAGAAGGUGCUAAAUUUGGGUCCCUGCCGUAUUAAAGGACUAAUUUUUGCUUAUGAUCGGCUGAUAAGUGAUACCAGACAUAUUUGAAAGAUAUCCAUGAAGAUGUUAUUUUUCUCUGUGUCAUCCUAAUUCUUAACUAAUCUGUAAGCUUUGUCUAACUUUUUACGUUUUUUCUUCUGAAAUUUAUUCAGGAAGUGGUAAAACUUUUACCAUGAAACCACUACCCCUCAAGGCUUCUAGGGAUAUUUUGAGGCUUAUGCAUCACACUUACAGGAAUCAAGGGUUUCAAUUGUUUGUAAGCUUCUUUGAGAUAUACGGAGGGAAAUUAUACGACUUACUCAGUGAUAGGAAGUAAGAUGCCCCACUAGGUUCUCACUUAAAUCAUUCAGCCAUUACUAGUCACCAUAUGGAUUUUCAAGACCUUUCAUAUUUUCUUUUUGUAGAAAGCUUUGCAUGAGAGAGGAUGGCAAGCAACAAGUUUGUAUUGUAGGCUUGCAAGAGCACAAAGUAUCAGAUGUGGAGACAAUUAAGGACCUUAUCGAGAAAGGAAAUGCAACAAGAAGUACAGGCACCACUGGAGCUAAUGAGGAAUCAUCCCGUUCACAUGCCAUUCUUCAGCUUACCAUUAAGAGGUCAGCUGAUGGCAAUGAAUCCAAACCUGCUCGAGUUGUUGGCAAGCUAUCUUUUAUAGACCUUGCUGGAAGUGAACGUGGUGCAGAUACUACUGAUAAUGAUAAGCAAACAAGGUAUAUAUAACUUCAUCAUCUUCUUCUUCCUUAGUAUUCUCUGGGAAAACAUUCAAUUUGGACAUCUGAUCUUAAAACAGAAAUCUAACAAAUGCAGAGAUGUAUUUAUCAUGUUGUGUUUGAGGGUGCAUAACAUUUGCACUUUAUAUGCUAAUAAUUAUUAUUACCCAAGUAUUGUCUGUUGUUUGAGAAAAAAAACUAUACUUAUAGUGUCCAUUGGUCUCUCAUGUUAUUUGAUAUGAUACCAACAAUUUGCAUUUUUUAAAUAAGUUCUCAGUUAGCGUUUUCUGAAUAUGCAGAAUGGAAGGAGCUGAGAUUAAUAAAAGUUUGCUUGCCUUGAAGGAAUGCAUUAGAGCUCUUGAUAAUGAUCAAGGGCACAUUCCAUUUAGAGGCAGUAAAUUAACUGAAGUCUUAAGGGAUUCAUUUGUUGGAAAUUCUCGUACUGUGAUGAUUUCAUGUGUUUCACCCAAUGCCGGAUCCUGUGAACAUACAUUAAACACAUUAAGAUACGCGGACAGGCAAGUCUCAUUUUUUAAUGAUAUAAAUCUUCUGUUGGGCAAAUGGCACCUUCUCUGUAAGGUCUUAUCUUCUUUCUUUUUAAUUAUAGGGUGAAGAGCCUUUCAAAGGGGAACAACAACAAAAAAGAUGUUUUCUCAUCAACCUCAAAUCUGAAGGAAUCAACACCACAGCCUCUGUCAUCAGUUUUACCGCCUGCAUCAACAUUUGAAGAUGACGCUGGUGAUUCGUGGCCUGAACAAACUGAUAGGGAAGAAUAUGACGAAGAGUUAUACGAGACAGAGAAGCCAGUAUGGACAAAAAACUCAAAAGUUGAAUCAUACAGUUUUUCUAAGAUGGACGAUAAAAUGAGAGCCAAUGGCCAGUCAAAGUGGAAGGAACCCCUUAAGUCGGAUGUGAAAUACUCGAAUUCUGACGAAGACUUGAACUCUCUUUUGAAAGUAAGACUACUAGAAAUUGCUUUUUAACAACAGAUCGAGUCCAGUCCAGGCGCUGACUUCUGUGACUCUUUGAUUCUUUAGGAAGAGGAAGAUCUCGUAAAUGCCCAUAGAAGACAAGUGGAGGAGACAAUGGAUAUUGUUCGAGAGGUUAGUGAUAAUCUUAUAGCAGCCCUAACAUGUCCUUUUUUUUUUUUUCGUCGGUGAUGGAAUAGAAGAAUAUUAGUUGGAUCAAAACCAAUUUAUUACUUUCACAUUACUCAUACACUGUUCCGGCCUUGAAUCUAGACACCGUCUUCGGUUGUUAGCAUUGGCAGCUUUACGAUACUAUUGAGUGUUCUCUUUUGUAUUUUGAUGCUUUCUAUACGAGGUCUCAAGUAUAUUCGGUGUUGAUUUAGAUGGAUCACGUCUUUCAUAUGAUUAUGAUGCAAAUUACCAGCAUUCAUGGUAGAGAGUUUACCUGAAUUAUAGCCAUCUCAUUUUCUGUUAAUUGAUUUGAAAGUUAAUUCAUUUUAUAAACGUAGAUUGGUGUAUCUCAUUUUAUUUUACAAGUUGUAUUCUUAAGUCUAUGCACCUUCAUCAAAUUUUACUUUACCAUUUGCAGGAGAUGAAUCUAUUGGUUGAGGCAGAUCAACCAGGGAAUCAGCUAGAUGAUUAUGUCACUAGAUUGAAUUCAAUCUUGUCCCAAAAGGCUGCCGGUAUUUUACAGUUACAGAAUCGCUUGGCUCAUUUCCAAAGACGAUUAAAAGAGCACAACGUCAUAGUAUCUUCUGGUAAUUAAGUGUCAUACGACAAUGCACAUAGAAUUCGGUGUGAUGCAUAUUGCUUGGGAUAGUAGCUUACAAUAUCAUUAUUAUUUAACAAAAUCAUACGGCAGAUGCCAUUUGCUUUGCAGCUAAGUAAUUCUUAGUAUCAUUCUUAGCUUACAAUAUGAAUGUUUCUCUGCUUGUUUAUGAUUGAUAGUAAAUUAUUUUCAUCUGCUGAUCACGUUGACUUUGGAAGGCUACUAAGGAUUGAGUGAAUAAUGGAAAACAUACGCAAGGCCUCGAUCGUGGCCUUCCCAUUUUUCUUGGAGAAGCUUGUC
RNAcentral lists this long non-coding RNA (9642 nucleotides) under Olea europaea subsp. europaea. Lineage: Eukaryota; Viridiplantae; Streptophyta; Magnoliopsida; Lamiales; Oleaceae. The record is from RNAcentral.